Ostrea edulis (European flat oyster) is the source of this 2014-nucleotide long non-coding RNA. RefSeq lists it as uncharacterized. The record is from RefSeq and is a predicted model, not a curated record. The transcript is spliced from 4 exons. Lineage: Eukaryota; Metazoa; Mollusca; Bivalvia; Ostreida; Ostreidae.
UCAAGAAGGGCGAUUUGUGGGAAAUGUUGUGGACUAACCUUGUCCCAAUUGCUCAGAGGUGCCAACAGUUGACAAAAUGCGGAUGCAAUACUGAGUGUCGUGGAAGGUGCAAGUGCUGCCGUUUGAGCCUACCGUGCACGGCUAUGUGUAGCUGUAACUGUGAGCAGUAAAAUACCUGAAUACAUUUUUGCAGGCUCAGAAAUAUUAUUUGAAUUUGAAUUGCGGAGUUACUGCUUUGAUUACACAUUGCUGUACAUGUGUUAUUUUGACAUUGGCGACGGUCUUUUAACCCUUUCUCUACCGUAUCGGUCAAUAUGACCGAUAGCGCGUAAAAACAGGGCUACGCAAAAGGAGUGUCUAUAAAUCUUUGAAACUACGGACGCAAUAUAUAUGUUUUAUAUAUCAUAUUUUUUGGAAAUUUUCUAUAUUUUUUAACUAUGUAAAAAUCAAUUGAAUAAAUAAAGCCAUUAAAUUAAAAAAAAGCAUUUAAAAUGAAAGAUGACUUCGUCUAAAUAUUACGCAACGCUUUAUCGCAAGGCCAUUUUCCCCCUUCGCUAUGAUUUUUUUUAUUUUCCCUAUGAAUGCAAUAUUUUUUAUAUUUUUGAGAAGCAUAUAUUCCUUGCUUUCAGUACAUAUAAAAAAUAUUUUUAAUGCCUGGCAAAGUUAUAAGAAAAUAGCAAUUUUUUGCACAUAUACGUUGUUUCACGAUUUUAUUUCUCAAUGUUUAAACAGAUCGGCGUUUUAUCUAUAUUUAUAUAUGGAAAUAGGGAAAAGUAAAUACAUUCCGUAAAAGUAGAGGAAAUGUUCUUUUUGAUGGACCCUUAUUUAUAUUAUAAUUCUCUGUAGUUUUUAUAUUACGAUAAAAUGAAAUUGGGACAUGCUGCGCGGUUUUCUUAAAAAUUAGCGACAAAUCGACGUCGCUAACAGCAAUCGACGCGCGUCGCACAAUAAAGUGGUGAAAACUAUUUGUAUUGUCCUUUUUUUUUUUUUUUAGUAAAUUCAGUACCUGUUGAUACACUAAAACAACAUACAUACAUGUAUGAAAUAAUCAACCUGGUAUCUCUGCUUUUUUAAAAAAAAAAAAGCAUAAAACCAAUAUUGGUUUAUAACAGUUACACAACCUACAUGUAACUUCAUAAAUGCUACAUCGGCAGAUUGAAUUUAAAAAAGAUUAAUAAAGUACUUCAAAUUCAAAUAUAAACGUUAUAUUUGUUCGGAAUAGUAAUAAUUUUUUUAUCUGCCAAAGAAAGAAAACAAAAAAGAAGUUCGCCUAUAUAUAGCCUGCAUACUUUUAUUUUUCCGUGAUCCGGAUCGCGGGCCUCGCGGGGUUUUCUGAAAGUGUGCACGGAGAACACACGUGUUUCCGUUUCAACGAAAACAAACAAACACAGCUUCACCGUGACUGUCACAGCGAACGCUUGUAUUUUACAUCUUUAAAACGACCUGAUGUCAGAAGAAGAAGAUGCCCUGGAUCCCCUGUUGCAGGAUGACCCAAACGAUCAUGCAUUCAGUAUAAAUACGUACAUGGUAUUGACAUCCCAAUAUUUAGUGGGAAGUUUCCAGGUAUCAUCCGCUAGCGACAGUCUACUGACAAAUCCAGACAUGCAUUGGAAGGAUGCUGAUGUGGAGGACACAGGAACACCUGAUCCCAGAACUGUGGCAUUUCAUUCGGGGUGACAACCUGGCUUUCAGUUGAUAUGGGACUCUAUUAUUCGGAAAACUGCAGAUUUUAUGAAGCUGUCUUUGACAGAAGAUUUGGUUUUCUCCAUCUGUGUUGCCACCAACCAUUAUGCUGAGAUAGUCAUAACUAGGGGGAAGGGUUGCCAUAUACUUCCCAAAGAAGUUUGCAGCCUCUCACUGAAGAGGAACUGUACAGAUUUUUGUGCAUUAUCUUAUACACGCCUGCUGUGAAGUUCCAGUCGAUAGACAGAUAUUGGUCAACGCAUGCCCCUGUCGGAACAACUCGUUAUCAAGAAUUAUGUCUAGAAAUAGGUUUCAAGGUUGAAUAUAAGAA